AUGCAGUCGAACGGCAGCACAGGAGAGCUUGCUCUCCGGGUGGCGAGUGGCGGACGGGUGAGGAAUACAUCGGAAUCUGCCCAGUCGUGGGGGAUAACCUCGGGAAACCGGGACUAAUACCGCAUACGACCUACGGGUGAAAGCAGGGGACCUUCGGGCCUUGCGCGAUUGGAUGAGCCGAUGUCGGAUUAGCUAGUUGGAGGGGUAAUGGCCCACCAAGGCGACGAUCCGUAGCUGGUCUGAGAGGAUGAUCAGCCACACUGGGACUGAGACACGGCCCAGACUCCUACGGGAGGCAGCAGUGGGGAAUAUUGGACAAUGGGCGCAAGCCUGAUCCAGCCAUGCCGCGUGAGUGAAGAAGGCCCUCGGGUUGUAAAGCUCUUUUGUUGGGAAAGAAAAGCAGCCGGUUAAUACCCGGUUGUUCUGACGGUACCCAAAGAAUAAGCACCGGCUAACUUCGUGCCAGCAGCCGCGGUAAUACGAAGGGUGCAAGCGUUACUCGGAAUUACUGGGCGUAAAGCGUGCGUAGGUGGUUUGUUAAGUCUGAUGUGAAAGCCCUGGGCUCAACCUGGGAAUUGCAUUGGAUACUGGCAGGCUAGAGUGCGGUAGAGGAUGGCGGAAUUCCUGGUGUAGCAGUGAAAUGCGUAGAGAUCAGGAGGAACAUCCGUGGCGAAGGCGGCC
Molecule: ribosomal RNA, 681 nt
Filed under: Luteimonas arsenica
Lineage: Bacteria; Pseudomonadati; Pseudomonadota; Gammaproteobacteria; Lysobacterales; Lysobacteraceae
Description: bacterial SSU rRNA
Rfam family: Bacterial small subunit ribosomal RNA
Source: RNAcentral